UGCUGUUUAAAAUGAAUGGAUCUCUAUUUCAAGAUGGCAUGUCUAGUACACUUACGUGCACCGCCUCACAAGCACACUGAAAUGACAGAAAAGGUAAGAAAAUAGAUGCAUAGACAAAAGAUUACAGAGAAAGGUGCUAUUAACAAAUGUGUUAUGUUACAGUUUCUUGGAACUUCCCAAGCAGAUGGGAAUUAUGAAACCAAAAGAAAAAUGACAUUCAUAGAAGAAGAAAUAAAAUUUGCCAAUAAGGUUAUUAAUAGAUGUUUAACAUCACUAACUGGACAUACUGCCAGUUGAAACAAUGAUGGCUGGGUGCAGUGGCUCACACCUGUAAUUCCGGCACUUUGGGAGGCUGAGGCAGGAGGACUGUUUGAGCCCAAGAGUCUGAGACCAGCCUGGGCAACAUAGCGAAACCCUGUCUCUACAAAAAAUACAAAAAUUAGCUGGGUGUGGUGGUGUCUGCCUGUAGUCUUGGCUACUCAGGAGGCUAAGGUGGGAGGAUCACUUGAGCCCAGGAGGACAAGACUGCAGUGAGCCGUGACUGUGCCACUGCAUACCAGCUUGGGCAACAGAGCAGAGCUGUUUCAAAACAAAACAAAACAAAACAGAACAGAAGAACAGAACAGAACAGAACAGGACACAAUGAGAACAUUUUUCAUCCAUCCAAUUGGCAAAUAAUUUCUAGAGCUGGUGAGAAGAUGGGGAAAUUGGAAUGUUUGGUCCCCGCUGGUGGGUGUGUUGUUGGUACAGCAUUUUUGGAUGGCAAUUUGGCAGUAUCAAGAUUUUAGGUGAAUAUACUCUUAGACCUAACAACUUCUUCUUAGAACGAACCUACAAAAAAUAGACAAGGAUAAGUGCAACGAUGUUCACUGUGGCGUGGGUUAGUAACAAUAAAACCUCCUAAACAUCUGCCAAAGGAAUAAUGGUUAAAUAAGGUAUGGCACGUGCAGUCUGUGGAAUUCCAGGCAGUUAUUAUAGACAAUGAGCUGGAUCCAUGUGAACUGAUGGGGAAGGAUGUUCCCACUACAGAAUAUAAGCACAUGAGGGCAGGGUUUUGCAUUUGCUUCCUCCUGUCUCCCUAAUGCCUAGAACAGUGUCAGACACAUAGUGCAUGCUCAGAAAGUAUUUGUCAAAUGAAUGGAUACACUUUCUAGGACACUAUGAAUUAGGACAAUGGACUGAAAAAUAAGCAGAAAAUUUAAACACACCAGUGACCACAGUGCAACUGCAACUGACGAUCAGUUUCCACCAAACUGCAACAGAGAGAGUGGCUUUGCCGGUGAGUUCUGUCAAACUACUGUGUUAUUUAAACAUUAUUUGGCCUUACAACUAAGGUGAGGCCCUUGGGCCUCUACUGAAGGCCCAAUGUGUUCAACAAGGGCUCUCCAUGCUGCCUAAGGGAACACAUCUGAUUUGCAGCCCUGAAUGAACUCUGGGACUCAUUCAUCAUGCAUGUACUUUCCUCAGAAGUUGCUCUUACCCAGCCUUGCGGGGCUGCAGCCAGAUCUCCCACGAGUGGUAAUGUAACAUGAAAACAAUGAGCCACAUCUUCAAAAUUCCAAAGGAAAAUGACCCUCAACCUAGAGUUUCCUAUCUAGGCAAGUAUUAAUCAAGUGUAAGGGCAGAAUAAUGACACUUCCAGAUGAGAGGUAUACAAAUUUACCUUACCUGCACCCAUUUACAAGAAGCUAGUGAAGGUUGUGCUCUUUAAAACAUGAUGGAAUUUACCAAGAAAGAGGAGGACUUGGCUUAGGAAAGAGAAGAUCCAGUAGAGAAGGGGAGUGACAGGAAUCUGCAGGAAAUGAUGAAGGGCAAUCCCAGGAUGUUAGCUGCACACCAGAGAUGAGGAGACAGACUAGGACCCCUGCUCCAUUAGACCUCCAGGUCCCAAACACCAGGUGAGCCAGGGCCUUGGCCUGUCUUGCCCAUGGCUGAUGAAGUGUUGUACUCUCUAUCAAACCCUGCAGUCUGGGCCAGCUGAGGACUCUCCUUGGAACCCAAAGAAGCAGUUUGUUUCCACCUACUCCCAAGAGCUGAAGAUUAUAAGCCAGAAGCAAACAAAGGCAGGCAAGGAAAUUUGAGGUUGUUGCAUCUGGAAGUAAACAUGUAGCUACUUCUUCUAAUAAAACAGAGGGACACAUUUUGAUUACCUGAAAAAUUCAGUUCUAUCUUUUGAUUUGGUCUGGACACCUGGAGGUCAGCAACCGAGAGCAGGAAGGAGGCACAGCAACAACAGAACAACAACAAGAGGCUGCGACAGGGGCGGCGUGGGUCAAAAGGAAGCAACCUGGAGGACGGUCCUCCUUGCGGCUUGGAGCAGAGCUUCAGGUUGGGCACCACGACAGAGCUGGGCCAGAAGUCUAACACAGCCUGUUUGGAACACAACCCGGGAUACUUGUGUGGUUGGGUUCAGUCAGUCAAGGGAAACAAGAAGCUAACCCGUGGCUGGGAGUGUUCAUGCAAUGCUCGUGGAAUACUCAGCGCAAAGCCUGCCCGCAAGCACAAAGGGUAUCAAGGAAGAGUUAAAUGGGAAGUUGGGUCAUGGUGUGGAAUCAUAUUAAGCUCUUAGGUGCUCUGACCCUGGAGGAGAGGGAUUUCACUGAGAUGAGAAGGAUGCGUGAUGGGAUCCAUGGGCACUGGAGGCUUAUAUUUCCCUCUCAUGCCAUGCUCAAGUGAUGGGAGGGCAGAGGCAUGAGAGGGUGCUAAGGGACUAAACGCCAUGGCCACAGGAGCUCUGGCCAAGGCCCCAGGAGUCAAGAAGUGCACAGAGGGCAUGGAUGCGUUGGAAAGGGGAGGUGCUGGCCUUUUAAAGAUCAUAUGGCUUGGACAAGGAACAUGAUCUAACCAUGAUGUUCAUUUUUGAUGGAGUCCAGGCAUGAGAGAAGUACUGGACUUUUCAUUUCCUGCCCUGGGCCUUGCCAGUGGAGGAGCACUGAGAUCUGCUAUAAUCAACACUCUUAUUGGAAGCAUUACUGUUCCGUGAAAAAUCGCCUGUGCCUGGGCUUCUCUUGC
Molecule: long non-coding RNA, 3012 nt
Filed under: Homo sapiens (human)
Lineage: Eukaryota; Metazoa; Chordata; Mammalia; Primates; Hominidae
Description: HSALNT0404241
Source: RNAcentral